RNAcentral lists this long non-coding RNA (216 nucleotides) under Capsicum annuum. RNAcentral's name for it is "long non-coding RNA (CANN_LNC013073)". Lineage: Eukaryota; Viridiplantae; Streptophyta; Magnoliopsida; Solanales; Solanaceae. The record is from RNAcentral.
GUGGAAAGUAGGGAUGAGGAAGAAAAACAGACCAUAUUUUAUUGUAGCUGCUGUUGAUCUGUUGUUACCCGUUGCUUUUUUAAUUAUCUCUUGUGCGUUAUACUUUCGUUACUUUUUCUUUGGAUUAUUAUUUUUGUAGUUGAUGGUCUAUUAGAAAUAAUCUCUCUACCUCUUAAUUAUUAGUUAGGAAUAAGAUUCGCAUACACUACUCUACCC